Molecule: ribosomal RNA, 216 nt
Filed under: uncultured fungus
Lineage: Eukaryota; Fungi
Description: partial small subunit ribosomal RNA
Rfam family: Eukaryotic small subunit ribosomal RNA
Source: RNAcentral
GGAUCAAGGUGCCAGUCAUGCCUUUGGUAUGUACUGACGUCAUUGAUUUCUCCUUUCUGAUGAACUGUGAUGUCAUUAAUUUGGUGUCAUGGAGAAUCAGGACUGUUACUUUGAAAAAAUUAGAGUGUUUAAAGCAAGCAUACGCUUGAAUACAUUAGCAUGGAAUAAUGAAAUAGGACGUUUGAUCCUAUUUUGUUGGUUUCUAGGAUCGACGUA